RNAcentral lists this ribosomal RNA (254 nucleotides) under uncultured bacterium. Its description in RNAcentral is "partial 16S ribosomal RNA". It matches the Rfam family "Bacterial small subunit ribosomal RNA", at positions 524 to 776 of the family's 1533-position model. The record is from RNAcentral.
UACGUAGGUGGCAAGGCGUUGUCCGGAUUUACUGGGCGUAAAGGGCGUGCAGGCGGUCUGUUAAGUUCAGGGUGAAAGCUCCCGGCUCAACUGGGAGAGGUCCUUGGAUGCUGGCAGACUUGAGGGAGGUAGAGGAGAGUGGAAUUCCCGGUGUAGUGGUGAUAUGCGUAGAUAUCGGGAGGAACACCAGUGGCGAAGGCGGCUCUCUGGGCCUUUCCUGACGCUGAGACGCGAAAGCGUGGGGAGCGAACCGG